GAACGCUGGCGGCAGGCCUAACACAUGCAAGUCGAGCGGCAGCGGGUUCCCGCGAGGGGAUGCCGGCGAGCGGCGGACGGGUGAGGAACACAUCGGAAUCUGCCUGGUUGUGGGGGAUAACGUAGGGAAACUUACGCUAAUACCGCAUGAGACCCUGAGUCGACGGACUGGGGGUGAAAGUGAGGGACCUUCGGCCUCACGCGACCAGAUGAGCCGAUGUCGGAUUAGCUAGNGGGCGGGGGUAACGGCCCGCCAAGGCGACGAUCCGUAGCUGGUCUGAGAGGAUGAUCAGCCACACUGGGACUGAGACACGGCCCAGACUCCUACGGGAGGCAGCAGUGGGGAAUCUUGGACAAUGGGCG
Molecule: ribosomal RNA, 362 nt
Filed under: uncultured bacterium
Lineage: Bacteria
Description: bacterial SSU rRNA
Rfam family: Bacterial small subunit ribosomal RNA
Source: RNAcentral